This 497-nucleotide ribosomal RNA is filed under the name uncultured bacterium. RNAcentral's name for it is "partial 16S ribosomal RNA". It matches the Rfam family "Bacterial small subunit ribosomal RNA", at positions 28 to 507 of the family's 1533-position model. The record is from RNAcentral.
GAUGAACGCUGGCGGCGUGCCUAAUACAUGCAAGUCGAGCGAACGGACGAGAAGCUUGCUUCUCUGAUGUUAGCGGCGGACGGGUGAGUAACACGUGGAUAACCUACCUAUAAGACUGGGAUAACUUCGGGAAACCGGAGCUAAUACCGGAUAAUAUUUUGAACCGCAUUGUUCAAAAGUGAAAGACGGUCUUGCUGUCACUCAUAGAUGGAUCCGCGCUGCAUUAGCUAGUUGGUAAGGUAACGGCUUACCAAGGCUACGAUGCAUAGCCGACCUGAGAGGGUGAUCGGCAACACUGGAACUGAGACACGGUCCAGACUCCUACGGGAGGCAGCAGUAGGGAAUCUUCCGCAAUGGGCGAAAGCCUGCCGGAGCAACGCCGCGUGAGUGAUGAAGGUCUUCGGAUCGUAAAACUCUGUUAUUAGGGAAGAUCAUAUGUGUAAGUAACUGUGCACAUCUUGACGGUACCUAAUCAGAAAGCCACGGCUAACUACGUG